Molecule: ribosomal RNA, 805 nt
Filed under: uncultured bacterium
Lineage: Bacteria
Description: bacterial SSU rRNA
Rfam family: Bacterial small subunit ribosomal RNA
Source: RNAcentral
GAAUUCGCCCUUAGAGUUUGAUCCUGGCUCAGGACGAACGCUGGCGGCACGCCUAACACAUGCAAGUCGAACGGACUUAAAAGAGCUUGCUUUUUUAAGUUAGUGGCGGACGGGUGAGUAACACGUGAGCAACCUGCCUCUGAGAGGGGGAUAGCUUCUGGAAACGGAUGGUAAUACCCCAUAAAAUAUAAAUAUCGCAUGAUAGAUAUAUCAAAGAAAUUCGCUCAGAGAUGGGCUCGCGUCUGAUUAGAUAGUUGGUGAGGUAACGGCUCACCAAGUCGACGAUCAGUAGCCGGACUGAGAGGUUGACCGGCCACAUUGGGACUGAGAUACGGCCCAGACUCCUGCGGGAGGCAGCAGUGGGGAAUAUUGCGCAAUGGGGGAAACCCUGACGCAGCAACGCCGCGUGAAGGAUGAAGGUCUUCGGAUUGUAAACUUCUUUUAUUAAGGACGAAGAAAGUGACGGUACUUAAUGAAUAAGCUCCGGCUAACUACGUGCCAGCAGCCGCGGUAAUACGUAGGGAGCAAGCGUUGUCCGGAUUUACUGGGUGUAAAGGGUGCGUAGGCGGCUUUGCAAGUCAGAUGUGAAAUCUAUGGGCUCAGCCCAUAGCCUGCAUUUGAAACUGCAGAGCUUGAGUGAAGUAGAGGCAGGCGGAAUUCCCCGUGUAGCGGUGAAAUGCGUAGAGAUGGGGAGGAACACCAGUGGCGAAGGCGGCCUGCUGGGCUUUAACUGACGCUGAGGCACGAAAGCGUGGGUAGCAAACAGGAUUAGAUACCCUGGUAGUCCACGCUGUAAACGAUGAUU